GAUGAACGCUGGCGGCGUGCCUAAUACAUGCAAGUCGAACGAGGUGCUUUUGUAGCAAUACGAGAGUAUCCUAGUGGCGAACGGGUGAGUAACGCGUUGGUGACCUACCCCAAAGUGUGGGAUAACAGUCCGAAAGGAUUGCUAAUACCGCAUGUGGUCUUCGGAUUUAGAAACUGAUGACUAAAGGAGCAAUUCGCUUUGGGAGGGACCUGCGUCCCAUCAGCUAGUUGGUGAGGUAAUGGCUCACCAAGGCUACGACGGGUAGGGGACCUGAGAGGGUGACCCCCCACAAUGGAACUGAAACACGGUCCAUACACCUACGGGUGGCAGCAGUAGGGAAUAUUGCACAAUGGGCGAAAGCCUGAUGCAGCAACGCCGCGUGUGCGAUGAAGGCCUUCGGGUCGUAAAGCACUUUUCUGGGAGUAUGAGCAAGGACAGUAUCUCAGGAAUAAGUCUCGGCUAACUACAUGCC
Molecule: ribosomal RNA, 472 nt
Filed under: uncultured bacterium
Lineage: Bacteria
Description: bacterial SSU rRNA
Rfam family: Bacterial small subunit ribosomal RNA
Source: RNAcentral